This 1343-nucleotide ribosomal RNA is filed under the name uncultured bacterium. Its description in RNAcentral is "16S ribosomal RNA". It matches the Rfam family "Bacterial small subunit ribosomal RNA", at positions 28 to 1378 of the family's 1533-position model. The record is from RNAcentral.
GACGAACGCUGGCGGCGUGCUUAACACAUGCAAGUCGAACGGAAAGGCCCUGCUUUUGUGGGGUGCUCGAGUGGCGAACGGGUGAGUAACACGUGAGUAACCUGCCCUUGACUUUGGGAUAACUUCAGGAAACUGGGGCUAAUACCGGAUAGGAGCUCCUGCUGCAUGGUGGGGGUUGGAAAGUUUCGGCGGUUGGGGAUGGACUCGCGGCUUAUCAGCUUGUUGGUGGGGUAGUGGCUUACCAAGGCUUUGACGGGUAGCCGGCCUGAGAGGGUGACCGGCCACAUUGGGACUGAGAUACGGCCCAGACUCCUACGGGAGGCAGCAGUGGGGAAUAUUGCACAAUGGGCGGAAGCCUGAUGCAGCAACGCCGCGUGCGGGAUGACGGCCUUCGGGUUGUAAACCGCUUUCGCCUGUGACGAAGCGUGAGUGACGGUAAUGGGUAAAGAAGCACCGGCUAACUACGUGCCAGCAGCCGCGGUGAUACGUAGGGUGCGAGCGUUGUCCGGAUUUAUUGGGCGUAAAGGGCUCGUAGGUGGUUGAUCGCGUCGGAAGUGUAAUCUUGGGGCUUAACCCUGAGCGUGCUUUCGAUACGGGUUGACUUGAGGAAGAUAGGGGAGAAUGGAAUUCCUGGUGGAGCGGUGGAAUGCGCAGAUAUCAGGAGGAACACCAGUGGCGAAGGCGGUUCUCUGGGCCUUUCCUGACGCUGAGGAGCGAAAGCGUGGGGAGCGAACAGGCUUAGAUACCCUGGUAGUCCACGCUGUAAACGGUGGGUACUAGGUGUGGGGUCCAUUCCACGGGUUCCGUGCCGUAGCUAACGCUUUAAGUACCCCGCCUGGGGAGUACGGCCGCAAGGCUAAAACUCAAAGGAAUUGACGGGGCCCCGCACAAGCGGCGGAGCAUGCGGAUUAAUUCGAUGCAACGCGUAGAACCUUACCUGGGUUUGACAUGGAUCGGGAGUGCUCAGAGAUGGGUGUGCCUCUUUUGGGGUCGGUUCACAGGUGGUGCAUGCCUGUCGUCAGCUCGUGUCGUGAGAUGUUGGGUUAAGUCCCGCAACGAGCGCAACCCUUGUUCACUGUUGCCAGCACGUUAUGGUGGGGACUCAGUGGAGACCGCCGGGGUCAACUCGGAGGAAGGUGGGGAUGACGUCAAGUCAUCAUGCCCCUUAUGUCCAGGGCUUCACGCAUGCUACAAUGGCUGGUACAGAGAGUGGCGAGCCUGUGAGGGUGAGCGAAUCUCGGAAAGCCGGUCUCAGUUCGGAUUGGGGUCUGCAACUCGACCUCAUGAAGUCGGAGUCGCUAGUAAUCGCAGAUCAGCAACGCUGCGGUGAAUACGUUCCCGGG